Molecule: ribosomal RNA, 157 nt
Filed under: uncultured soil bacterium
Lineage: Bacteria
Description: partial 16S ribosomal RNA
Rfam family: Bacterial small subunit ribosomal RNA
Source: RNAcentral
AGAUUGAACGCUGGCGGCAGGCCUAACACAUGCAAGUCGAGCGGCAGCACGGGUACUUGUACCUGGUGGCGAGCGGCGGACGGGUGAGUAAUGCCUAGGAAUCUGCCUGAUAGUGGGGGAUAACGCUCGGAAACGGACGCUAAUACCGCAUACGUCC